GCCCCCGUCGUUUAAUCGGCAGGACGCCCGCGCUGGACGCAGCGAGAUACGGGAAGUGGAGGUUCAAAUCCUCUCGGGGGCA
Molecule: transfer RNA, 82 nt
Filed under: Mycolicibacterium hassiacum DSM 44199
Lineage: Bacteria; Bacillati; Actinomycetota; Actinomycetes; Mycobacteriales; Mycobacteriaceae
Description: Mycobacterium hassiacum DSM 44199 tRNA
Rfam family: tRNA
About the family: Transfer RNA (tRNA) molecules are approximately 80 nucleotides in length. Their secondary structure includes four short double-helical elements and three loops (D, anti-codon, and T loops).
Source: Rfam by way of RNAcentral